RNAcentral lists this ribosomal RNA (442 nucleotides) under uncultured bacterium. RNAcentral's name for it is "partial 16S ribosomal RNA". It matches the Rfam family "Bacterial small subunit ribosomal RNA", at positions 338 to 795 of the family's 1533-position model. The record is from RNAcentral.
CCUACGGGAGGCAGCAGUGGGGAAUAUUGGGCAAUGGGCGAAAGCCUGACCCAGCAACGUCGCGUGAAGGAAGAAGGCUCUCGGGUUGUAAACCUCCUUUGAUAGGGAAGAGCAGAAGACGGUACCUGUCGAAUAAGCAACGGCUAACUACGUGCCAGCAGCCGCGGUAAUACGUAGGUGGCAAGCGUUGUCCGGAUUUACUGGGUGUAAAGGGCGUGUAGCCGGGCUGACAAGGCAGAUGUGAAAUCCGGGGGGUCAACCCCCGAACUGCAUUUGAAACUGUUGGUCUUGAGUAUCGGAGAGGCAGGCGGAAUUCGUGGUGUAGCGGUGAAAUGCGUAGAUAUAAGGAGGAACACCGGUGGCGAAGGCAGCCUGCUGGACGACAACUGACGGUGAGGCGCGAAAGCGUGGGGAGCGAACAGGAUUAGAUACCCUAGUAGUC